RNAcentral lists this ribosomal RNA (301 nucleotides) under uncultured bacterium. RNAcentral's name for it is "partial 16S ribosomal RNA". It matches the Rfam family "Bacterial small subunit ribosomal RNA", at positions 509 to 807 of the family's 1533-position model. The record is from RNAcentral.
CAGUAGCCACGGUAAUACAGAGGGUGCGAGCGUUAAUCGGAUUUACUGGGCGUAAAGCGUGCGUAGGCGGCUUUUUAAGUCGGAUGUGAAAUCCCUGAGCUUAACUUAGGAAUUGCAUUCGAUACUGGGAAGCUAGAGUAUGGGAGAGGAUGGUAGAAUUCCAGGUGUAGCGGUGAGAUGCGUAGAGAUCUGGAGGAAUACCGAUGGCGAAGGCAGCCAUCUGGCCUAAUACUGACGCUGAGGUACGAAAGCAUGGGGAGCAAACAGGAUUAGAUACCCGUGUAGUCCCUGUCUCUUAUAC